Molecule: microRNA precursor, 103 nt
Filed under: Marmota monax (woodchuck)
Lineage: Eukaryota; Metazoa; Chordata; Mammalia; Rodentia; Sciuridae
Source: RNAcentral
ACAUGAAUCACCUAGGAUCUUGUUAAAAUGCACAUUCUUAUUCAGUAGGUCUAGGGUGUCCCUGAGACUGUGCAUUUCUCACCAGUGCUUAGAGGAAGCGAAG